CGGGGUGAGUAAUGCUUGGGAAUCUAGCUUAUGGAGGGGGAUAACUACGGGAAACUGUAGCUAAUACCGCGUAGUAUCGGAAGAUGAAAGUGUGGGACCUUCGGGCCACAUGCCAUAGGAUGAGCCCAAGUGGGAUUAGGUAGUUGGUGAGGUAAAGGCUCACCAAGCCGACGAUCUCUAGCUGGUCUGAGAGGAUGACCAGCCACACUGGGACUGAGACACGGCCCAG
RNAcentral lists this ribosomal RNA (229 nucleotides) under uncultured bacterium. Its description in RNAcentral is "partial 16S ribosomal RNA". It matches the Rfam family "Bacterial small subunit ribosomal RNA", at positions 104 to 334 of the family's 1533-position model. The record is from RNAcentral.